This 1437-nucleotide long non-coding RNA is filed under the name Homo sapiens (human). Its description in RNAcentral is "uncharacterized LOC339260, transcript variant 4 (LOC339260)". Lineage: Eukaryota; Metazoa; Chordata; Mammalia; Primates; Hominidae. The record is from RNAcentral.
AGAGAAGGGUGUCCCAGAUGUAGGCAAAGCGUCCUCCAUGUGUUCCUGGAGGACCGUCCCAAGUCCUUCUCCAUUCUCCCAACCUCUUGGGCCUGGAAGUCAGACAAGUACCGGUGAUUGCCGGUUUCUUGUCUGAUUUUUGCACUUCUCUGGCAAGCUGCCCCCUCUGAAGAGUUGACUAUUUGGGAGUUACUCACUGAUGGUUCAGCCACUUCCAGAACCUACCCCAAGAGCAAGACUUGAAACCAACUCGCACCCUCAAAGCUCCGGAAGCCAUUCAGUGUUUCCAUCUUGGCUGAGUGAGUUCUUCACUGAAACUCAAUUUGACUUUGACAGUCAUCUAAUGAGAACUCAAAAGUCAUUCUUGGUUCAGCCACAGUCAAAGAACUUGCAGAGCAUUCUCUGACGAGGUCCUCAAGGACAACUGAGAGAAGGUCCCAUUCCAGGUCUUGCCCAAGUCUUUCUGAUUGGUGGGACUUAAAUCACACCCAAAAUUCCAGCUGCAGGAGAGCUCUGAGAUUUCAUCUUUCCAACCUCUGUGUGCUACGUGGGGGUUGGAGCACUUGCUGACAAGCCUUGCAACCACCAUUGACAGGAUGUCCUCCACCUUUUCAAUCUGAUUUGCUCUUUGCCAUGCAGACCUGUGGAUGAAGAGCCAGAGUCCUCCAAGGUGAAGCUGGACUGAAUAUUUCUGUCCAUAAGACUAUUAGAAUCCCCCAAAGUGGGAUACCAGUGAGGACCUCACCAGCAGCUGCUGUCUCUCCAAUGCAGAGCUUCCUGCCUCCUGCCCAGCCCCUGCUGUCAGAGAUACUUGGUGCUUCCAGUUCUGGAGACUUCCUUGAGUUCUGUGACUCAAAACAACUUCCUUCCCCUGUGGGCAUCAACAAUGAGAGAUCUUCAGAUGCGAUCAGGCACUCCAGUCCUUCCAUCUCCCACAAUGUUGGAGACCUGUGUUCCCUGCUGUAGAAACCUCUGCCAUUCCCUUUAUCUCUGAAGACAGAUGGACUUGACUGUCAGCUUAGCUUGGUUUCAGGAGGAAAGGAAGAUAAACCCCUGUGUUUAAGCUGCCGUGUUAAAUGGGAGGCACCUGGUCUUUUUUCUUUUUCUUUUUUAAAGACUGGGUCUCGCUCUGUUAUCCAAGCUGCAGUGCAGUGAUGUGAUCAUAGCUCACCUCAGCCUUGAACUCUCAGGCUCAAGCGAUCCUCCAGCCUCAGCCUCCUGAAUUGCUGGGAUUAUAGCACCUGGCCAAUUUUAAAAUCUUUCUGUAGCGACAGGAUCUCACUAUGUUGCCCAGGCUGGUCUUGAACCCCUGGCCUCAAGGAAUUCUCCCACAACCUCCCAAAGUGCUAAGAUUACAGGCAAGAGCCAUGGUGCCCAGCCACCUCUGGUCUUCCCUCAGUUUGCUUUCAUUAAAGGACAAACACAUGCCUUGCAAAA